CUUCUCUAAGGGCAAACCUUCCGCGAGGGAGGGACGCAAAGCGACAGCACUGCCACUGCAGUGGGCUGCGCCACUGAG
RNAcentral lists this non-coding RNA (78 nucleotides) under Ferrimonas marina. Its description in RNAcentral is "c-di-GMP sequence". It matches the Rfam family "c-di-GMP-I riboswitch aptamer". From Rfam's summary of the family: GEMM was predicted in a large-scale screen for bacterial structured RNA regulatory elements. Genes associated with GEMM are involved in a diverse array of functions, including chemotaxis regulation, signal transduction, secretion and chitin. The record is from Rfam by way of RNAcentral. Lineage: Bacteria; Pseudomonadati; Pseudomonadota; Gammaproteobacteria; Alteromonadales; Ferrimonadaceae.